This 253-nucleotide ribosomal RNA is filed under the name uncultured bacterium. RNAcentral's name for it is "partial 16S ribosomal RNA". It matches the Rfam family "Bacterial small subunit ribosomal RNA", at positions 524 to 776 of the family's 1533-position model. The record is from RNAcentral.
UACGAAGGGGGCUAGCGUUGUUCGGAAUUACUGGGCGUAAAGCGCACGUAGGCGGAUAUUUAAGUCAGGGGUGAAAUCCCGCAGCUCAACUGCGGAACUGCCUUUGAUACUGGGUAUCUAGAGUAUGGAAGAGGUGAGUGGAAUUCCGAGUGUAGAGGUGAAAUUCGUAGAUAUUCGGAGGAACACCAGUGGCGAAGGCGGCUUACUGGUCCAUUACUGACGCUGAGGUGCGAAAGCGUGGGGAGCGAACAGG